AUUGCAGGCUGCAACCCGCCUGCAUGAAGUCGGAAUCGCUAGUAAUCGCGAGUCAGCAUAUCGCGGUGAAUACGUUCCCGGGUCUUGUACACACCGCCCGUCACACCAUGGGAGUUGGCAACACCCGAAGUCGAUGAGCUAACCGUAAGGAGGCAGUCGCCUAAGGUGGGGUUGAUAACUGGGGUGAAGUCGUAACAAGGUACC
RNAcentral lists this ribosomal RNA (204 nucleotides) under uncultured bacterium. Its description in RNAcentral is "partial 16S ribosomal RNA". It matches the Rfam family "Bacterial small subunit ribosomal RNA", at positions 1297 to 1500 of the family's 1533-position model. The record is from RNAcentral.